This 64-nucleotide ribosomal RNA is filed under the name Lasiodiplodia theobromae. Its description in RNAcentral is "partial 28S ribosomal RNA". Lineage: Eukaryota; Fungi; Ascomycota; Dothideomycetes; Botryosphaeriales; Botryosphaeriaceae. The record is from RNAcentral.
AACUUUUCUCAAGGUUGACCUCGGAUCAGGUAGGGAUACCCGCUGAACUUAAGCAUAUCAAUAA